This 500-nucleotide ribosomal RNA is filed under the name uncultured Glomeromycotina. RNAcentral describes it as "partial small subunit ribosomal RNA". It matches the Rfam family "Eukaryotic small subunit ribosomal RNA", at positions 591 to 1092 of the family's 1831-position model. Lineage: Eukaryota; Fungi; Glomeromycota. The record is from RNAcentral.
CCAAUAGCGUAUAUUAAAGUUGUUGCAGUUAAAAAGCUCGUAGUUGAAUUUCGGGGUCAGUACGCUGGUCGUGCCUUUGGUAUGCACUGGUGUCACUGGUUCCUCCUUUCUGACGAACCGUGAUGUCAUUAAUUUGGUGUUGCGGGAAAUCAGGACUGUUACUUUGAAAAAAUUAGAGUGUUUAAAGCAGGCUCACGCUUGAAUACAUUAGCAUGGAAUAAUGAAAUAGGACGUUUGAUUCUAUUUUGUUGGUUUCUAGGAUCGACGUAAUGAUUAAUAGGGAUAGUUGGGGGCAUUAGUAUUCAAUUGUCAGAGGUGAAAUUCUUGGAUUUAUUGAAGACUAACUACUGCGAAAGCAUUUGCCAAGGAUGUUUUCAUUAAUCAAGAACGAAAGUUAGGGGAUCGAAGACGAUCAGAUACCGUCGUAGUCUUAACCAUAAACUAUGCCGACUAGGGAUCGGAUGAUGUUAAUUUUAUAAUGACUCAUUCGGCGCCUUACG